Molecule: ribosomal RNA, 406 nt
Filed under: uncultured bacterium
Lineage: Bacteria
Description: partial 16S ribosomal RNA
Rfam family: Bacterial small subunit ribosomal RNA
Source: RNAcentral
AUUGAACGCUGGCGGCAGGCCUAACACAUGCAAGUCGAGCGAGCGGCGGACGGGUGAGUAAUGUCUGGGAAACUGCCUGAUGGAGGGGGAUAACUACUGGAAACGGUAGCUAAUACCGCAUACCAUCAGAUUUGCCCAGAUGGGAUUAGCUAGAGGGUGGGGUAACGGCUCACCUAGGCGACGAUCCCUAGCUGGUCUGAGAGGAUGACCGGCCACACUGGAACUGAGACACGGUCCAGACUCCUACGGGAGGCAGCAGUGGGGAAUAUUGCACAAUGGGCGAAAGCCUGAUGCAGCCAUGCCGCGUGUGUGAAGAAGGCCUUCGGGUUGUAAAGCACUUUCAGCGGGGAGGCGUUACCCGAAGAAGAAGCACCGGCUAACUCCGUGCCAGCAGCCGCGGUAAUUC